GGGAUCGUGGCGCAGUUGGCUAGCGCGUAGGUCUCAUAAAAAGGGCCAGUUUUGCCGGUUUCCUUGUUAUGACCUGAACAAGGGCAAUCCUAAGGUCGUGAGUUCGAGCCUCACCGAUCCCA
Molecule: transfer RNA, 122 nt
Organism: Gaeumannomyces graminis
Lineage: Eukaryota; Fungi; Ascomycota; Sordariomycetes; Magnaporthales; Magnaporthaceae
Rfam family: tRNA
About the family: Transfer RNA (tRNA) molecules are approximately 80 nucleotides in length. Their secondary structure includes four short double-helical elements and three loops (D, anti-codon, and T loops). Further hydrogen bonds mediate the characteristic L-shaped molecular structure. tRNAs have two regions of fundamental functional importance: the anti-codon, which is responsible for specific mRNA codon recognition, and the 3' end, to which the tRNAs corresponding amino acid is attached (by aminoacyl-tRNA synthetases). tRNAs cope with the degeneracy of the genetic code in two manners: having more than one tRNA (with a specific anti-codon) for a particular amino acid; and 'wobble' base-pairing, i.e. permitting non-standard base-pairing at the 3rd anti-codon position.
Source: Rfam